Long non-coding RNA from Solanum pennellii, 955 nucleotides. RefSeq lists it as uncharacterized. The record is from RefSeq and is a predicted model, not a curated record. NCBI's taxonomy places the organism in Eukaryota, Viridiplantae, Streptophyta, Magnoliopsida, Solanales, Solanaceae. The transcript has 2 exons.
UACCCACCCAACUGGCUGUCAAUGAUCCAGCACCAAAUAUUGAUACUAAAAAUUCCGGCUCAACGUAACAGAAUGCCUUCAAAGGUUUUGCAGUCUCCCUAUGUGAAUUCUUUUGAAUCAACUGAUAAGGGCAAGGAAAAAACAGACGAUCAUAUCCGCCCAUACACUCUAUUUGAUGAUUAUCGCAUCACAUCUCAACUCUCGUCAGGUUUAAUGCAAGAGUUCUUACAGGGGAUUUAAAAGGGACUCCAAAAAACACAUGUGAAUAACACAUAGGUGUAAUUUCUUACUAUCUACGUAAGAAGUCAAAAUUAAGAUGUUUGGAUCAAUACAGAUACAUUACGGUCAACUUUGUUCAAGUCAUAUAUCAACAUUGUAUACAAGAGGUAUUAUUGCGCUCCCGCAGAUGAAACUCUUACUACACAAGAUCAUGUUGGACGUGGUAUUGCUAUAUCUUGUUAAGUAAGGUCUAUAAAAGACAUCAUAAAUGGAUUUUUGAUCCCUGCUACUUUACCGUGGUAUCUAGUAGAUGAGAUUUAUAUUCCUGUUAAUUGUGGCGAAGAUUUUCAUUGGGUGUUGGUUGUGGUUGUUUUAAAAAAAAAGGUUAAUACGAGUGUAUGACUCAUCUAUGGGAUUAAGGAAUAUAGUUCAUUCCGAAGAGAUAAAGCAACUGUCUAUAAUGCUCCUAAACUAUCUACAUGAUAGUGGUUUCUUUGAUAAAGUGGAGAGAAUUAAUUGGUCAUCAUUGGAGGCGUACAAAGACAAGGACACUGGUGAAUUGUUGGAUCCACAACAGUCCUUUGUGGUGGAAUAUGUUCAAGACAUUAUGCAACAACAAAGUGAUAGCUUGUUAGUAUUGUAAAACAAUUUAUUUACUUAUACAUUCAAUUCACUUUUUAAUGUAUCUACAUUUAUUUGCAAUGACUGUGGAAUGUAUGUCGUUGUUUUUGCUGAA